RNAcentral lists this ribosomal RNA (426 nucleotides) under uncultured Chamaesiphon sp. RNAcentral's name for it is "bacterial SSU rRNA". It matches the Rfam family "Bacterial small subunit ribosomal RNA", at positions 355 to 795 of the family's 1533-position model. The record is from RNAcentral. Lineage: Bacteria; Bacillati; Cyanobacteriota; Cyanophyceae; Gomontiellales; Chamaesiphonaceae.
UGGGGAAUUUUCCGCAAUGGGCGCAAGCCUGACGGAGCAAUACCGCGUGAGGGAGGAAGGCUCUUGGGUCGUAAACCUCUUUUCUCAGGGAAGAACACAAUGACGGUACCUGAGGAAUAAGCAUCGGCUAACUCCGUGCCAGCAGCCGCGGUAAUACGGAGGAUGCAAGCGUUAUCCGGAAUGAUUGGGCGUAAAGCGUCCGUAGGUGGUUUUGUAAGUCUGUGGUUAAAGCGUGGAGCUCAACUCCAUAAGGGCCAUGGAAACUACAAGACUAGAGUGAAGUAGGGGUAGAGGGAAUUCCCAGUGUAGCGGUGAAAUGCGUAGAGAUUGGGAAGAACACCGGUGGCGAAAGCGCUCUACUGGACUUAUACUGACACUGAGGGACGAAAGCUAGGGGAGCGAAAGGGAUUAGAUACCCCUGUAGUC